CCCUUGUAAUAUAACCAAUAUACUGGUCUUGUAAACCAGAAAUGGAGCCCACCCCUCCCUAGGGC
This 65-nucleotide transfer RNA is filed under the name Tupaia montana (Mountain treeshrew). Its description in RNAcentral is "tRNA-Thr". Lineage: Eukaryota; Metazoa; Chordata; Mammalia; Scandentia; Tupaiidae. The record is from RNAcentral.